AGCUUAUUUCGCGCAGCUUAGGUGGGAGACGUUGAACCUUUUCUUCCGGGAAAGGGGGAGUCAUCAGUGAGAUACCACUCUUGGUAAGCUAGAGCGCUCAUUUUUAACCGUUAUCCGGUAAAAAGACAGUUUCAGGCGGGCAGUUUGACUGGGGCAGUCACCUCCCAAAAGGUAAUGGAGGUGUACAAAGGUUCUCUCAGGCUGGACGGAAAUCAGCCAUAGAGUGUAAAAGCAUAAGAGAGCUUGACUGCGAGACGGACAUGUCAAGCAGAGACGAAAGUCGGUUUUAGUGAUCCGACGGUGCUGAGUGGAGAGGCCGUCGCUCAACGGAUAAAAGUUACUCUAGGGAUAAC
Molecule: ribosomal RNA, 353 nt
Filed under: uncultured eukaryote
Lineage: Eukaryota
Description: LSU rRNA
Rfam family: Bacterial large subunit ribosomal RNA
Source: RNAcentral